UCCCAGGUAGCUCAGGGGUAGAGCAGGUGGCUGUUAACCACCUUGUCGGGGGUUCAAAUCCCUCCCUGGGAGCCA
RNAcentral lists this transfer RNA (75 nucleotides) under Deltaproteobacteria bacterium CG11_big_fil_rev_8_21_14_0_20_45_16. RNAcentral describes it as "tRNA-Asn". It matches the Rfam family "tRNA". Rfam says of the family: Transfer RNA (tRNA) molecules are approximately 80 nucleotides in length. Their secondary structure includes four short double-helical elements and three loops (D, anti-codon, and T loops). The record is from RNAcentral. Lineage: Bacteria; Deltaproteobacteria.